Molecule: ribosomal RNA, 253 nt
Filed under: uncultured bacterium
Lineage: Bacteria
Description: partial 16S ribosomal RNA
Rfam family: Bacterial small subunit ribosomal RNA
Source: RNAcentral
UACGUAGGGUGCGAGCGUUGUCCGGAAUUAUUGGGCGUAAAGAGCUCGUAGGCGGUCUGUCGCGUCUGCUGUGAAAACUCAGGGCUUAACCCUGAGCUUGCAGUGGGUACGGGCAGACUAGAGUGCGGUAGGGGAGACUGGAAUUCCUGGUGUAGCGGUGAAAUGCGCAGAUAUCAGGAGGAACACCGGUGGCGAAGGCGGUUCUCUGGGCCUUACCUGACGCUGAGGAGCGAAAGCGUGGGGAGCGAACAGG